Molecule: transfer RNA, 82 nt
Filed under: Claviceps africana
Lineage: Eukaryota; Fungi; Ascomycota; Sordariomycetes; Hypocreales; Clavicipitaceae
Also listed under: 1 other name
Description: tRNA-Trp
Rfam family: tRNA
About the family: Transfer RNA (tRNA) molecules are approximately 80 nucleotides in length. Their secondary structure includes four short double-helical elements and three loops (D, anti-codon, and T loops).
Source: RNAcentral
GGGGCCUUAGAUCAGUGGUAGAUUAUGUGAUUCCAGCCUUGGAGUUUCCACAGGGUCGUCCGUUCGAUCCGGGCAGGCCUCA